This 939-nucleotide ribosomal RNA is filed under the name uncultured Planctomycetota bacterium. Its description in RNAcentral is "bacterial SSU rRNA". It matches the Rfam family "Bacterial small subunit ribosomal RNA", at positions 28 to 936 of the family's 1533-position model. Lineage: Bacteria; Pseudomonadati; Planctomycetota. The record is from RNAcentral.
AAUGAACGUUGGCGGCGUGGAUUAGGCAUGCAAGUCGAGCGAGAAUCCUCCGCAAGGGGGAGGAAAGCGGCAAACGGGGUAGUAAUGCGUAGGUGACGUGCCCUCAGGUCUGGGAUAGCCACGGGAAACUGUGAUUAAUACCGGAUGACCUCUUCGGAUCUGGAUUCCGGAGAGCAAAGGUGUGAUUCCGCCCGAGGAGCGGCUUGCGUGGUAUUAGCUAGUUGGUGAGGUAAUGGCUCACCAAGGCAAAGAUGCCUAGGGGGUGUGAGAGCACGACCCCCACCACUGGGACUGAGAUACUGCCCAGACACCUACGGGUGGCUGCAGUCGAGAAUCUUCGGCAAUGGGCGCAAGCCUGACCGAGCGACGCCGCGUGCGGGAUGAAGGCCUUCGGGUUGUAAACCGCUGUCAGAGGGGAUGAAAUUCCGGAGGGUUCUCCCCCCGGAUUGACAGAGCCUCAGAGGAAGCACGGGCUAAGUUCGUGCCAGCAGCCGCGGUAAUACGAACUGUGCAAACGUUAUUCGGAUUCACUGGGCUUAAAGGGUGCGUAGGCGGCUGUUUAAGUAGGGUGUGAAAGCCCCCGGCUCAACCGGGGAAUUGCGCUCUAAACUGGACAGCUUGAGUGAGACAGGGGUGUGCGGAACUUCCGGUGGAGCGGUGAAAUGUGUUGAUAUCGGAAGGAACGCCGGUGGCGAAAGCGGCAUCGGAAGGAACGCCGGUGGCGAAAGCGGCACACCGGGUCUUUUCUGACGCUGAGGCACGAAAGCCAGGGGAGCGAACGGGAUUAGAUACCCCGGGUAGUCCUGGCCGUAAACGAUGAGCACUGAUGGGGAAGGGCUUCGCGCCCUUUCCAAUGGAGCCAUAGUGUCAGUGCUCGCUGGGAGUAUGGUCGGCAGGCCUGAGCUCAAGCAAUUGACCGGGGGCUUCACACCAAAUCCG